AUUGAACGCUGGCGGCAGGCCUAACACAUGCAAGUCGAACGAGUGGCGGACGGUUGAGUAAGGUCUGGGCAACUGCCCGAUGGAGGGGGAUAACUAAUGGAAACGGUAGCUAAUACCGCAUACCAUCUGAUAUGCCCAGAUGGGAUUAGCUAGGAGGUGGGGUAACGGUUCACCUAGGCGACGAUCCCUAGCUGGUCUGAGAGGAUGACAAGCCAAACUGUAACUUAGACACGUUCCAGACUCCUAAGGGAGGCAGCAGUGGGGAAGAUGGCACAAGGGGCGCAAGCCUGAUGCAGCCAUGCCGCGGGUAUGAAGAAGGCCUUCGGGUUGUAAAGUACUUUCAGCGAGGAGGCGGUACUCGCAGAAGAAGCACCGGCUAACUCCGUGCCAGCAGCCGCGGUAAUUC
RNAcentral lists this ribosomal RNA (406 nucleotides) under uncultured bacterium. RNAcentral's name for it is "partial 16S ribosomal RNA". It matches the Rfam family "Bacterial small subunit ribosomal RNA", at positions 30 to 526 of the family's 1533-position model. The record is from RNAcentral.